UGCAUCAGUAUCUCCUUAGCCUUGUCACAUAAUGCUCUGACCUGGGGCUCGGAGAUUGGUUUGCACUUUAUGAGCUGCGAGAUCUGCUCAUCGAGAUCGGUGAUUGAAUCUGAAGAUAGCGAAUUCGAGCCCAUCUUCGUUGUUUCUCUUCGGCUCUAAGACCAAGAACGGGUUUACGGUAUCCGGAUUAGGGAUAACCCUAACCCUAAGAUUGAAUGAGAUGCUUCUUAUGUCUUCUUUUCAGUUUAUGGCAGUUGGUUUGCGCCGCGAACGAGGAGGAACUUGC
Molecule: unclassified non-coding RNA, 286 nt
Filed under: Hevea brasiliensis (rubber tree)
Lineage: Eukaryota; Viridiplantae; Streptophyta; Magnoliopsida; Malpighiales; Euphorbiaceae
Source: RNAcentral